This 11096-nucleotide long non-coding RNA is filed under the name Hordeum vulgare. RNAcentral's name for it is "long non-coding RNA (HVUL_LNC018276)". The record is from RNAcentral. Lineage: Eukaryota; Viridiplantae; Streptophyta; Magnoliopsida; Poales; Poaceae.
UCGGAGAGACUUACAAGGAUAUCAAAUCAUGCAUAUAAGAAAUCAGCAAAGACUCAAAUAUAUAUCAUAGAUAAUAUGAUCACAAAUCCACAAUUCAUCGUAUCUCGACAAACACACCGCCAAAGAAGAUUACAUCGGAUAGAUCUCCAUGAAGAUCAUGGAGAACUUUGUAUUGAAGAUCCAAGAGAGAGAAGAAGCCAUAUAGCUACUAACUACAANNNNNNNNNNNNNNNNNNNNNNNNNNNNNNNNNNNNNNNNNNNNNNNNNNNNNNNNNNNNNNNNNNNNNNNNNNNNNNNNNNNNNNNNNNNNNNNNNNNNGAAUCCUUGGCACUGAGGUUCAAACGAUAAGAUCUUCGUAGAAUAUGUAGGAUCCAAUAUGGGCAUCCAGGUCCCGCUAUUGGAUAUUGACCGAGGAGUCUCUCGGGUCAUGUCUACAUAGUUCUCGAACCCGCAGGGUCUGCACACUUAAGGUUCGACGUUGUGUUAUGCGUAUUUGAGUUAUAUGGUUGGUUACCGAAUGUUGUUCGGAGUCCCGGAUGAGAUCACGGACGUCACGAGGGUUUCUGUAAUGGUCUGGAAACGAAGAUUGAUAUAUAGGAUGACCUCAUUUGAUUACCGGAAGGUUUUUGGAGUUACCGGGAAUGUAUCGGGAAUGACGAAUGGGUUCCGGGUGUUCACCGGGGGGGAAACCCACCCCGGGGAAGCCCAUAGGCCUUGGGGGUGGCGCACCAGCCCUUAGUGGGCUGGUGGGACAGCCCAAGAAGGCCCUAUGCGCCAAGGAUAGAAAAUCAAAGAGAAAGAAAAACAAGGAGGUGGGAAAGGAGAGAANGGACUCCUCCUUCCAAACCUAGUUGGACUCGGUUUGGAAGGGGAGAGUUGCCCCCUUGGCUCAGCCAAACCCCUUGAGGGUCCUUGGACCCCAAGGCAAGGCUCCCCCUCUUCCCCUAUAUAUACGGAGGUUUUAGGGCUGAUUUGAGACAACUUUGCCACGGCAGCCCGACCACAUAUCUCCACGGUUUUACCUCUAGAUCGCGUUUCUGCGGAGCUCGGGCAGAGCCCUGCUGAGAUAAGAUCAUUACCAACCUCCGGAGCGCCGUCAUGCUGCCGGAGAACUCAUCUACCUCUCCGUCUCUCUUGCUGGAUCAAGAAGGCCGAGAUCAUCGUCGAGUUGUACGUGUGUUGAACGCAGAGGUGCCGUCCGUUCGGCACUAGAUCGUGGGACUGAUAGCGGGACGGUUCGCGGGGCGGAUCGAGGGACGUGAGGACGUUCCACUACAUCAACCGCGUUCACUAACGCUUCUGCUGUGCGGUCUACAAGGGUACAUAGAUCGAAUAUCCCCUCUCGUAGAUGGACAUCACCAUGAUAGGUCUUCGUGCGCGUAGGAAAAUUUUUGUUUCCCAUGCGACGUUCCCCAACAUCCUCUUCAAGGGAAAAACCAACGCAAGCUCAAGAAGUAGCACACGUCAUAUGGGUAUUCUUCAAAUGCAAAAAACGACGGGGUUUGCUCUUCUUCCUCUUCGGCUUUGUCAACUUAUUUGGUUAAAUUACGGUAGCUUAUUGAGGUGUUCAUCUGUGUAGGAAGGUGGAUGCUCAUUUCGGUAUUGGGAAGAAGAAUACAUCGAUCUAUUGAUAGAAAGAAACUUAAUAGAUGUUUGUGUACUUCUUAGUAUAAUUGAGCCAAACGAUGGAGCUGCAUGUGCAAUUAGAAAAGAUAUUAAAGGGGAAGCAAUGUCUAAUUCUUUAGAAUCAAAGUCAAAGAAUAAAGAAUGCAAGAUGAAGAACCCCCAGAUCAACAAUGAAUGCAUGGAGAAGAUGUUGAUCCAACUAGUGGGAGCAGUUAUGGAAGUUGGAUAUCUUCUAAAAUGUCUAAUUGUGGUUCUUGUUUUCUUUGGUCUUGUUGUUUUAGCAAAGAUUUGAUAAAUUAUGAUGUAUCCAAUGUCUUUGAAGAAAAUAAAAAAGAAAGCAAAUGUGUUUUCAUGCCUGAAAAUGUAAUGAAAAUAACAAAUUUUGCGGGUCGACGUGGGCCGUUGCCGAGCAGACCCCGCAAAACGGUCCCUAUAAAAGGAUAUUCUCCUUUUAUAAUGGUCCGUUUUNNNNNNNNNNNNNNNNNNNNNNNNNNNNNNNNNNNNNNNNNNNNNNNNNNNNNNNNNNNNNNNNNNNNNNNNNNNNNNNNNNNNNNNNNNNNNNNNNNNNGUUUUGGUGAAUAACUUGCAGGUUCCAUGACCUUGGGAAUCUAUGCAUAGGGGUUGACACAUGUUUUCAUCUUGACUUUCUGGUAGAAACUUUGGGGCACUCUUUGAAGUUCUUUGUGUUGGAUUGAACAUGAUGAAUCUGAAAUUAUGUGAUGUGUAUCGUAUAAUCAUGCCCAUGGGUACUUGCGGUGACAUUGGAGUAUCUAGGUGACAUUAGGGUUUUGGUUGAUGUUUACCUUAAGGUGUUAUUUUAGUACGAACUCUAGGGUUGUUCGUGACACUUAUAGGAUAGCUCAUAAGAUUGAUUAGAAAAGAUAACUUUGAGGUGGUUUCGUACCCUACAAUAAUUUAUUUGUUUGUUCUCCACUAUUUGUGACUUUGGAGUGAACUCUUUGUCGCACGUGAGGGAUUUAUAUAUGAUUCAACUAUGUUAGUAGUGUUGAGAGAACAUGCACUGGUGAAAGUAUGGACCCUAGGCCUUGUUUCCAAGCAUUUAUACAAUGUUUUGCUUGUUGUUUACUAUUUAUUACCUUGCUGUUUUGAUAUUUUCAGAUUACAAAAACCUAUAUCGACCAUCCAUAUUACACUUGUAUCACCAUCUCUUCGCCGAACUAGUGCACCUAUACAAUUUACCAUCGUAUUGGGUGUGUUGGGGACACAAGAUACUCUUUGUUAUUUGAUUGCAGGGUUGCUUGAGAGAGACCAUAUUCAUCCUACGCCUACCACGGAUUGAUAAUCCUUAGGUCAUCCACUUGAGGGAAAUUUUCUACUGUCCUACAAAACUCUUCGCUUGGAGGCCCAACACGAGUCUAUAAGAAGGUUUUGUAGUAGACAUAAAGCUCUUUUCUAGCACCGUUGCCGGGGAGGUUAGGUAAGCAGCACUCACAUCCCGUUAACGUAGCUCUUUUCUGGCGCCGUUGUCGGGGAGCAAUAGCGUGGGGGUUGGUAUUCUCGUGUGUGCUUGUUUGCUUUCUUCACUAAGUAGAUUUUGUUUUUCCUUUUUGAUUUAUUUACUUGUGGGUGAAACAAAAAAAAUUAAAUAAUGAAAAAUACAAAAAGAAUUACUUGCCCCUUAUGCCUAAGAAGUUUUUCAAAAAGAGAAGUGAUUGGAAAGUUGUGCAUUGAAGAAGUGAGGGUCAACCUUGAACACUUAUGUUCAUGCUCAUCGAAACAAUGUAGAAUUUUUCAUGGAAGUUUAUAAAAAAUAAUUAUCCCCUUGUAUAUAUACAUUGUAUUAUAAAAAUAAUGUGCCAAAAUUUGGUUUUAGGAUGAUUAGAUGGCCUGUUUUCUUUGUGCGGUGCAAAAACAGAAACUUCGACUGUAGUGCAUGAAUUUCCAUUUUUUACCGGAACGUCAAAAGUUUCUGAAUUUUUUACACAGUACUUCUAUUCAAAAAAAUUUAAUGUGUCCUAAAGUUUCAGAAAUUUGUGAUUUACAGAAGUAUGCGAAGUUUCCAGAAUGCUACAGACUGUCCUGUUUUUGACGGAUUUUGUUUUCUAUGCAUUGUUCUCUUAUUUUGAUGAAUCUAUGAGUUGUAUCGGGGGGGUAUGAACCAUGGUGAAGUUGGACUACAGUAGAUAUAAUAUUAAUAUGAAUUCGGAAUGAGUUCACAACAGUACUUAAAGUAGUAUUUUGCUUUAUUGUACUAACGGAUCUCACGAGAGGUUUGUUAAGUUUUGUGUGAUGAAGUAUUCGAAGAUCGAGGAGGCAUCAAUAUAAGAAGAAUACGAAGAGACAAGAGUUCAAGCUUGGAGAUGCCCAAGGCACCCCAAGUAUUCAAGGAAACUCAAACAGCUAAGCUUGGGGAUGCCCCGAAAGGCAUCCCAUCUUUAUUCUUCAACAAUUAUCGGUAUACCUCAGUUUUUGUUUUGUUCACAUGAUAUGUGUCUCCUUUUAUGCACCCUUAUAGUAUGAGGUAUUCCUUCAUUGAUUUGUAGAAUGCUCUUUGUGCUUCCCUUAAAUCUUUUGAGUAUGGCUUGUAGAAUGCUCUUUGUGCUUCACUUAUAUAUUUUGAGCUUGGAUAUUGGUUGAUGUAUAUUAAUUAUAGAAUGCUCUAUGUGUUGGGGAACGUUGCAUGGGAAACAAAAAAAUUCCUACGCACACGAAGACCUAUCAUGGUGAUGUCCAUCUACGAGUGGAGAUUAGAUCUACGUACCCUUGUAGACUGCACAACAGGAAGCGUUAAGAAACGCGGUUGAUGUAGUGGAACGUCUCCACGUCCCUCGAACCGUCCCGCGAUCCGUCCCACGAUCCGUUCCGAUCUAGUGCCGAACGGACGGCACCUCCGUGUUCAGCACACGUACAACUCAAUGAUGAUCUCGACCUUCUUGAUCCAGCAAGCAAGACAGAGAAGUAGGUGAGUUCUCCGGCAGCGUGACGGCACGCCGGUGGUGGUGAUGAUCUACUCCUGCAGGGCUCUGCCCGAGCUCCGCAGAAAUCCGAUCUAGAGGUAGAACUAUGUGGUCUAGGGUUGAGUUGCACGUGGCAAAAGUUGUCUCAAAUCAGCCCUAAAACACCACUAUAUAUAGGAGGGAGGGGGAGGGCUAGCCUUGAGGGACAAGCCCUCAAGAUGCACCGGCCAAGGGGAGGAGGAGGACUCCUCCUCCAAUUCGGUUUGGGAAGGAGGAGUCCUCCUCUUCCUUCCCACCUCCCUCUUUCCGGGGGGGGGGGGGGGGUUGGUAUUUUCUUAUGUGGCGCCAUGGACCCCUUGGGCUGACUCCACCAGCCCACUAAUGACUUGUGGCGACAUCCUAGUGCCUUGGGAUCACUCCAGGGUGGGUGGGCCUCUCCCAGUGAAUUCCCGAAAUGCAUUGGUCACUCUCGGUACACUGCCGGAAUUGCCCGAAAAUUUCCGGUGACCAAAUAAAACCAUCCUAUAUAUCAAUAUUUGUUUCCGGACCAUUUCAGAAACCCUAGUGACGUCCGUGAUCUCAUCCGGGACUCCUAGCAAUAUUCGAUAACCACACAUAUAACUCAACUAUACUAAAACAUCAUCGAACCUUAAGUGUGCAGACCCUGCGGGUUCGAGAACUAUGUAGACAUGACCCGAGACACUCCUCGGUCAAUACCUAAUAGCGGGACCUGGAUGCCCAUAUUGGAUCCUACAUAUUCUCCGAAGAUCUUAUCGGUUGAACCUCAGUGCCAAGGAUUCAUAUAAUCCCGUAUGUCAUUCCCUUUGUCCUUAGGUAUGUUACCUGCCCGAGAUUCAAUCGUCGGUAUUCGCAUACCUAUUUCAAUCUCGUUACCGGCAAGUCUCUUUACUCGUUCUGUAAUACAAAAUCCCAUGACUUACACUUAGUCACAUUGCUUGCAAGGCUUGUGUGUGAUGUUGUAUUACCGAGUGGGCCCCGAGAUACCUCUCCGUCACACGGAGUGACAAAUCCCAGUCUUGAUCCAUACUAACCCAACGAACACCUUCGGAGAUACCUGUAGAGCACCUUUAUAGUCACCCAGUUACGUUGUGACGUUUGAUGCACACAAGGUAUUCCUUUGCUGCCAGUGAGUUAUAUGAUCUCAUGGUCAUAGGAAUAAAUACUUGACACGCAGAAAACAAUAGCAAUAAAACGACACGAUCAAUAUGCUACGUUCAUAGUUUGGGUCUAGUCCAUCACAUGAUUCUCCUAAUUAUGUGAUCCCGUUAACAAGUGACAACACUUGUCUAUGGUCAGGAAACCUUGACCAUCUUUGAUCAAUGAGCUAGUCAACUAGAGGCUUACUAGGGACAGUGUUUUGUCUAUGUAUCCACACAUGUAUCUAUGUUUCCAAUCAAUACAAUUAUAGCAUGGAUAAUAAACAAUUAUCAUGAACAAAGAAAUAUAAUAAUAACUAAUUUAUUAUUGCCUCUAGGGCAUAUUUCCAACACUGUGAACUUCACUUAUAUCUUUUAGAGUAUGAAUAAAAUCAUCAUCGGGAAUAGGCUUGGAAGAGCAUCAUUGAAAUAACCAUGCCUAGCUAAAAGGCAUUAAAGAAAAGCGCUUGUUGGGAGACAACCCAACACUUUUGCCUUCUGAUUCUAUGAGUUCACAUGAUUACGCUACAGUAGAAAUCAUGUUUUGUGUCUUUUAUUUCAAUAAAGUGCCAAGUAAAGCCUUUGGGAUGACUCACAAGAUGAGUAGAAUUAAUGUUGAACCAAAACAAAAACUUUUGACUUGAGUACAGGAAUUUUCAUUUUUUACUGGAGCGUGAUAAUGAUCUGAACUUUGUACACAGUCUUGAUAUACAAAUUAUUCUGGUUGUCCUCAUUUGUCAAAAAAAUUAGAGAUAGGGAAGUAUGGCUAUACUACAGACCUUAACAGACUAUUCUGUUUUUGAUAGAUUCUGUUUUGCAUGCAUAGUUUGCUUAUUUUAGUGUUCCCGUAACUUAUAUUUGGUAAUAUAAAUUGUGGAAAUGAUAUAAUACAGUAGGUAUCAUGUGGUAAUAAUUAUGAGUAUUGUCUUGACAGUACCUAAGUGAAUGAUAUAUCUUUAUUACACUAACCGUUCUCACGAAGUUCCGUUAAGUUUUGUGUGAUUGAAGUUUUCAAGUUUUGGGUGAAACACCGAUAUGAGGGGGGGGGGGGCAAGGAGUGACAAGAACCUAAGAUUGGGGAUGCCCAAGUCACCCCAAAGUAAUAUCUAAGGAAGGCUCAAGCGCUUAAGCUUGGGAAUGCCCCAGAAGGCACCCCCUCUUUCGUCUUCAACAUUAUCGGUAUAUCUUACUUGGAGCUAUAUUUUUAUUCGUCACAUAAUAUGAGUUUUGCUUGGAGUGUCAUUUUAUUUUGUUGUUCUCUGUUAGGUGUUAUUUAUAAUCUUGUUUUUCAACAAAAAGUUCCAAAAAUUGCAUUAGGAUGCUUGCAUUGCUUGCUUUGAUUGGUGUUGUGUAAAAACAGAAACUAAUGUUGUAGUGUUUAAAUUUUCAUAUUUUACUGGAACGUGGAACGUUUCUGAAAUUUUACACUAGGUUUUUAUAUAAAUUUUAUAGCAUGUACUAAAUUUUCAUAAUGUUUUGAGUUACAAAAGUACACCGUUUUCAUAAAUUUCUACAGACUGUUCUGUUUGGACAGAUUGCUGUCAUAAUUUUGCUAUCUACUUAUCCUAUAGUUUCCAUAGCCUAUAUUGAUAGAUAUAAAUUGUGGAAAUGAUAGUAAACAGUAGAUGAUGUUUGUAAUUAUUAUGCAACUUGUCUUGGAAGUACAUAAAGAGUUGAUUUAUUAUUAUGUGCACUAACCUAUCAUACGAGUUCUUUUCAAGUUUUGUGUGGAUGAAGUUUUUGAGAAUAGGUGAAACCGGGAUACGAGAGGAUUGAAAAGGAUACAAAAUCUCAUGCUUGGGGAUGCCCAAGGCACCCCAAGUAAAUAUUUUAAAAACUCUCAAGCAUCUAAGCUUGGGGAUGCUACGCAUCCCACCUCUCUCUGUCAACUAUCGGUUAGCCUAUGUUGAGCCUAAAUUUUUAUUGUUCACAUGAUGCGUCCUAUUCUUUGAGUGCUAUUUUUAUUUUGUUUUCUAUUUAAAUAAAAUACUCAGAUCUGAAAAUAUUUUUUUUGAGGGAGAGAGAGUCCUCACAUAGCUCCUUAAUUGUUUGACUACUCAUUGAUCUUCACUUAUAUCUUUUGUGAGUAGCUUGUCAUUUCCUGUAAUGCUUCACUUAUACCUUUUUGAGGGAUGAAAUCUUUAUGCUCUUGUGCUUCCUUUAAAUUGGUUUGAGCAUGUCUAAAUGGCAAUAGCAAUAUAUGAAACUAGUCCCAAAGUAAUAGAUAUCCAAGAGGGAUAUAAUAAAAACUUUCAUGAAGAUCGUGGGACAAAUUAAACUUGAUUCUUUGUAAUAGUUUUGAAACACGAUGAUAGUAAUAUGUGAGUCAUGUUAGUGAGUAAUUAUGCUAUAAGUAGGAAUGUUGGUGUUAAGGUUUCUGAUUCCCUAUGCAUGCACGAAAGUCAAUAGUUAUGCAAUGAAGUUACAUCCUACUUGUGGUGCAUUAUUCGGUGUUAGUUAUGACUCAAUGCUCACUUAUGAGAUUUUCUGUUCCUCGGUUUGAUUCCUUCCCAAUAUAUUUUCUAGCCUUCAUUUGUGCGAAGUAGAAAUACUACUUAUGCAUCCAAAAUCCUUAAAUCAAGUUUCGCGUCAUGAGACCAUCAUACCUACCUAUAUGCGGUAUUCCAUGCCGUUCCAAGCAAAUUUGUAUGUGCCAUCUCUAAAUUUUCAAAAUAAAUUUUCUCUUUUGUGUGCCCGUACCGCUCAUGAGACGGUGGGGAGUAUCCAAUAUUUUGUUGGAAUUAUGCCCUAGAGGCAAUAAUAAAUAUAGUUAUUAUUAUAAUUCCUGUAUCAAGAUAAUCGUUUAUUAUCCAUGCUAUAAUUGUAUUGAAUGUAGACUUAUAUACAUGUGUGGAUACAUAGACAAAACACUGUCCCUAGCAAGCCUCUAGUUGGCUAGCCAGUUGAUCAAAGAUAGACAGGGUCUUCUGAUUAUGGACAAGGUGUUGUUGCUUGAUAACUGGAUCACCUCAUUAGCAGAAUCACGUGAUGGACUAGACCCAAACUAAUAGACCUAGCAUCUUGAUCGUGUCAUUAGCUUGCUACUGUUUUCUGCGUGUCAAGUAUUUCUUCCUAUGACCAUGAGAUCAUAUAACUCACUGACACCGGAGGAAUGCUUUGUGUGUAUCAAACGUCGCAACGUAACUAGGUGACUAUAAAUAUGCUCUACAGGUAUCUCCGAAGGUGUUCGUUGACUUAGUAUGGAUCGAAACUGGGAUUUGUCACUCCGUGUGACGGAGAGGUAUCUCGGGGCCCACUCGGUAAUACGACAUCACACACAAGCCUUGCAAGCAAUGUGACUUAGUGUAAGUUGCGGGAUCUUGUAUUACAGAACGAGUAAAGAGACUUGUCGGUAAACGAGAUUGAAAUAGGUAUGCGGAUACUGACGAUCGAAUCUCGGGCAAGUAACAUACCGAAGGACAAAGGGAAUGACAUACGGGAUUAUAUGAAUCCUUGGCACCGAGGUUCAAACGAUAAGAUCUUCGUAGAAUAUGUAGGAUCCAAUAUGGGCAUCCAGGUCCCGCUAUUGGAUAUUGACCGAGGAGUCACUCGGGUCAUGUCUACAUAGUUCUCGAACCCGCAGGGUCUGCACACUUAAGGUUCGACGUUGUUUUAUGCGUAUUUGAGUUAUAUGGUUGGUUACCGAAUGUUGUUCGGAGUCCCGGAUGAGAUCACGGACGUCACGAGGGUUUCCGGAAUGGUCCGGAAACGAAGAUUGAUAUAUAGGAUGACCUCAUUUGAUUACCGGAAGGUUUUCGGAGUUACCGGGAAUGUACCGGGAAUGACGAAUGGGUUCCGGGUGUUCACCGGGGGGGGCAACCCACCCCGGGGAAGCCCAUAGUCCUUGGGGGUGGCGCACCAGCCCUUAGUGGGCUGGUGGGACAGCCCAAGAAGGCCCUAUGCGCCAUAGGAAGAAAAUCAAAGAGAAAAAAAGAGGAGGUGGGAAAAAGGGGAAGGACUCCUCCUUCCAAACCUAGUUGGAUUCGGUUUGGAAGGGGAGGACUCCCCCCCUUGGCUCGGCCGACCCCCUUUGGGGUCCUUGGACCCCAAGGCAAGGCUCCCCCUCUUCCCCCUAUAUAUACGAAGGUUUUAGGGCUGAUUUGAGACAACUUUUCCACAGCAGCCCGAGCACAUAUCUCCAUGGUUUUACCUCUAGAUCGCGUUUCUGCGGAGCUCGGGCGGAGCCCUGCUGAGAUUAGAUCACCACCAACCUCCGGAGCACCGUCAUGCUAUCGGAGAACUCAUCUACCUCUCCGUUUCUCUUGCUGGAUCAAGAAGGCCGAGAUCAUCGUCGAGCUGUACGUGUGCUGAAUGCGGAGGUGCCGUCCGUUCGGCACUAGAUCGUGGGACUGAUCGCGGGACGGUUUGCGGGGCGGAUCGAGGGACGUGAGGACGUUCCACUACAUCAACCGCGUUCACUAACGCUUUUGUUGUGCGAUCUACAAGGGUACGUAGAUCGAAUAUCCCCUCUCGUAGAUGGACAUCACCAUGAUAGGUCUUCGUGCGCGUAGGAAAUUUUUUGUUUCCCAUGNNNNNNNNNNNNNNNNNNNNNNNNNNNNNNNNNNNNNNNNNNNNNNNNNNNNNNNNNNNNNNNNNNNNNNNNNNNNNNNNNNNNNNNNNNNNNNNNNNNNAAAAGGGUGUAAAAGGGGAUCGAAAGACCAACCACCACCGUCAGCCAUCGCAACGCUAUGACUUCUCGAUGCCAUCUAUAGAUCUACUUUUCGAAUGAUUGCGACAAUCCUUCAUCAUUCUUGCUCCAAGCAGGCAAGGGUCGUCAUGUUCGUCUCCGAUGACAAGGGCAAUCAAGGUAUUCUUACCCUUCAACCAACUUACAUGGAUGUUCUUGUACAUGAUUAGGAUGAUGUACUUCUUAAGCCAUGAAGUUUUCUCUUAACAUCAGCAAUUUUGAGAAGCCAAAUAUUCGAAGUGGAGAAUAUCCGAUUUUCUCCUUUAUCCACGUUAAUUUACUCUACCAAAUUAAUUGGGCAAGUAUAGAGGUUGCCAUCUUGAUUUUCUUCCCUUGGAGCGUCCGUCCGUCCCCAGUGACCGAAGAUGAACCCCUCAAAAGAAAAGAAAAACCCGAAGAUGACACGUCUUUUCUACACGUGGAUGCCGCCCACUGGCUAGCGACACGCCACCACCGGCGCAUCUCCCUCGCCGCCGCUGUGCAGACCCCCGUUCUCUCCGAGCGAACACGCCUCCUUCCUCCUCCCCACACCCCAUUCACUCACAUGGUCCUCACAGGGUGAAUACCUUGAUGCUAUCUCCCCUCCUAGAGUUUCUCCCAAUCCAACCAAUCACAAGGGUACGAAAUCCGGAUAGGGGCGCGGCCGCAUCCCGGGACGAGAUUUCACUCCGCCGCCGCCCCCGGCGGUGCUCAGUGUCCGUGCNNNNN